This 576-nucleotide ribosomal RNA is filed under the name Sillago sp. 3 SS-2020. Its description in RNAcentral is "partial large subunit ribosomal RNA". It matches the Rfam family "Bacterial large subunit ribosomal RNA", at positions 1816 to 2597 of the family's 2925-position model. The record is from RNAcentral. Lineage: Eukaryota; Metazoa; Chordata; Actinopteri; Sillaginidae.
CGCCUCUUGCAAGAUUAACGAAUAAGAGGUCCCGCCUGCCCUGUGACCAGUGAGUUCAACGGCCGCGGUAUCCUGACCGUGCGAAGGUAGCGCAAUCAAUUGCUCCUUAAAUGGGGGCCUGUAUGAAUGGCGCAACGAGGGCUUAACUGUCUCCUUUUUCAGGUCAGUGAAAUUGAUCUCCCCGUGCAGAAGCGGGGCUAAAACCAUAAGACGAGAAGACCCUAUGGAGCUUUAGACACCAAGGCAGACCAGGUUUAUCACCCCCCUUUAAAGGGCAAAACUUUUUGGCCUCCUGCCCUAAUGUCUUCGGUUGGGGCGACCCCGGGGGAAAGAAAAGCCCCCGAGCAGAAAGAGAAUCUAAUUCUCCUAGCCAAGAGUCUCCACUCUAAUAAUCAGAACCUCUGACUUAACUGAUCCGGCAAUGCCGAUCAACGGACCAAGUUACCCUAGGGAUAACAGCGCAAUCCUCUUUUAGAGCCCAUAUCGACAAGGGGGUUUACGACCUCGAUGUUGGAUCAGGACAUCCUAAUGGCGCAGCCGCUAUUAAGGGUUCGUUUGUUCAACGAUUAAAGUCCU